Molecule: long non-coding RNA, 771 nt
Organism: Lactuca sativa (garden lettuce)
Lineage: Eukaryota; Viridiplantae; Streptophyta; Magnoliopsida; Asterales; Asteraceae
Source: RefSeq, a predicted model, not a curated record
GUAAACCAAGAAAUCGUAAAACAAGUCCAAACAACAGGAAGUUUUAAAUUCCAAACUACCCCAUCUUUGUAAGCAUGUAUGCCUAUUCAAGAAACAAAGUCAUAUAUGCUAAUAAAGCAUAUACUUAUGAUGGAGAACUCAUAAAAUACUGGAGGGAUAACCUUCAUUUUAUCUUCAUCUGAUCAAAUAAAGAUAAGGUAUCUUCCUUACAAAUCCCUAACUACUUUUGUGUACUCGAAUCAUGUAAUCUGAAAUCACAUGGAAGAGCCAUUAAACCACAACUGAUCUUAAAUGAUGGGAAGCUUGAUUAAUCCAAAUGGAUGGUUUCCAUUCUAUGUAGAAUUUGCUAAUACGGUGCAUGUGCAACAAGAAAGAAUAGGAGGACGAAAUUGGGAGGCAUAAUGGGUUGAAAAGACCCAAAUACCCUCAUGUAUAUCAUUUAUGUAGUUUAUAUUCAUUAAAAAAUAACAAUUGUGAGGUAUUAUCAUUUAUGUAGAGUUUUCAUUCCAUAUUUGAUGCUAAUAUCGAAUGAGUCUUUCCUUCCGAAUGUAAAUACACUAUAUUGUUGUAGAUAGUAAUGUUGCUCAAAUAUCUCUAAGAGUGACUUAUACUCUAUAGUUCCAUUUGUCUAAAUUUUUAUUAUUAUCUUCUGAAGCAAGCUAUGUCAGGUCCCACAAAUUAAUAUAAUUUCAAUCUUUUAUAAGAAUUUUUUACUAAAUGUAUGUGUAGAAACUAUUAGUUUGCAGAUAACCACAGGAGGCCAAUGGGUGA